GCGCCGCCUCCCUCCCACGUCAUGUUUUCUCUUUGACAAGCUGCCGCCGCUGCGGAAAGAACGCGGCUCAGGGCCGGGACCUGCCACCUCCGGACCCCGAGCAGCUGCCGCUCUCCGUGGACCCUGUUUUCAGAAGGAGGAAGGGGAAAGGAGACUAUCUACUGUUUUCUCUGCAUACUACUGUAGCUGGAAAGUUUUUGACUACGCAGCUGUAGAACCCCACAAUGAAACAGGCACAAAAGCGUACAGUUCUAAACUUAGUAGCAGCCUCAUGCUGCACAUGAAUAUUAGUUUAUGUCAAUUAGUUAAAAUUGUUUAAAAUUAUCACUCUUAUGUAACUUGAAAUUAAAAAAAACCUCUUACCUUUCG
Chelonoidis abingdonii (Abingdon island giant tortoise) is the source of this 369-nucleotide non-coding RNA. The record is from RefSeq and is a predicted model, not a curated record. NCBI's taxonomy places the organism in Eukaryota, Metazoa, Chordata, Testudines, Testudinidae.